AUUGAACGCUGGCGGCAGGCUUAACACAUGCAAGUCGAGCGGUAGCACAGGGGAGCUUGCUCCCUGGGUGACGAGCGGCGGACGGGUGAGUAAUGUCUGGGAAACUGCCUGAUGGAGGGGGAUAACUACUGGAAACGGUAGCUAAUACCGCAUAACGUCGCAAGACCAAAGAGGGGGACCUUCGGGCCUCUUGCCAUCAGAUGUGCCCAGAUGGGACUAGCUAGUAGGUGGGGUAAUGGCUCACCUAGGCGACGAUCCCUAGCUGGUCUGAGAGGAUGACCAGCCACACUGGAACUGAGACACGGUCCAGACUCCUACGGGAGGCAGCAGUGGGGAAUAUUGCACAAUGGGCGCAAGCCUGAUGCAGCCAUGCCGCGUGUGUGAAGAAGGCCUUCGGGUUGUAAAGCACUUUCAGCGAGGAGGAAGGUGGUGAGCUUAAUACGUUCAUCAAUUGACGUUACUCGCAGAAGAAGCACCGGCUAACUCCGUG
RNAcentral lists this ribosomal RNA (490 nucleotides) under uncultured bacterium. RNAcentral describes it as "partial 16S ribosomal RNA". It matches the Rfam family "Bacterial small subunit ribosomal RNA", at positions 30 to 507 of the family's 1533-position model. The record is from RNAcentral.